RNAcentral lists this small nucleolar RNA (129 nucleotides) under Myotis davidii. RNAcentral describes it as "Small nucleolar RNA SNORA32". It matches the Rfam family "Small nucleolar RNA SNORA32". From Rfam's summary of the family: ACA32 is a member of the H/ACA class of snoRNA that guide the sites of modification of uridines to pseudouridines. The record is from Rfam by way of RNAcentral. Lineage: Eukaryota; Metazoa; Chordata; Mammalia; Chiroptera; Vespertilionidae.
UGGUUAUUACUAAGGCUUUUAGAAUGCAAUUUCUCAUUUGCCAUGAACAUGACUACAAAACAUUUUCCCAAUAGGUUUUCUUUCUGCUAUAUUGGUAGCAUUGCUAUGUUUAGCCUUUUGGGGAUACUU